RNAcentral lists this ribosomal RNA (468 nucleotides) under uncultured bacterium. Its description in RNAcentral is "partial 16S ribosomal RNA". It matches the Rfam family "Bacterial small subunit ribosomal RNA", at positions 28 to 507 of the family's 1533-position model. The record is from RNAcentral.
GACGAACGCUGGCGGCGUGCUUAACACAUGCAAGUCGAACGGAAAGGCCCUGCUUUUGUGGGGUGCUCGAGUGGCGAACGGGUGAGUAACACGUGAGUAACCUGCCCUUGACUUUGGGAUAACUUCAGGAAACUGGGGCUAAUACCGGAUAGGAGCUCCUGCUGCAUGGUGGGGGUUGGAAAGUUUCGGCGGUUGGGGAUGGACUCGCGGCUUAUCAGCUUGUUGGUGGGGCAGUGGCUUACCAAGGCUUUGACGGGUAGCCGGCCUGAGAGGGUGACCGGCCACAUUGGGACUGCGAUACGGCCCAGACUCCUACGGGAGGCAGCAGUGGGGAAUAUUGCACAAUGGGCGGAAGCCUGAUGCAGCAACGCCGCGUGCGGGAUGACGGCCUUCGGGUUGUAAACCGCUUUCGCCUGUGACGAAGCGUGAGUGACGGUAAUGGGUAAAGAAGCACCGGCUAACUACGUG